AAAAAAAAAAGCAGAUUGAGAGAAACUCAGAAGUGUCCGACGGCAACGAUGGUGCGCUCUGCGCUGCUGUCGCGGCGGCGCGCGGCUGUCACUGCCGCACCAGCUCUCCAUACCCUGCCCCUCAUUCACUGAUUCACCUUCGCGCCGAACAAGGCGCCAUUUGCCCCUUUCCCCUCCCGCCGCUCUACUCCCUCAUUGUCUUCUCUCUCGCCUCCCUGGACCGGCCACUCCGGUCGCCAACCGACGGAGACAGAGAGGGCGCUGGGGCCUGAAUAGGAGGCGGCACUUGGAGGAGGCGUCUGUGGGCAGCGGAUGUGGACAUGUGGUUCUUCAGAGGUUGAUGGUCGCUUUCUUUCUGGACCCGGCCGGGCUCAGUCUUGAUGGCAAGGCUAAAGACUGGCCUAGACUUGUAGCGUGUAUACCAGUCACGCUGCUAGUUCAUUUUGACUUGGCCGAAUGACGUUGGAUUGAGCUACUCCAGUUCAUUUUGACUUAGCGGAAUGACGUUGGAUCGAUGACGUCUCAGCGUAGAAUUUGUUUUAUUUUAAGGUCAGCAUUGACUUAUAGUCAGAGUUUGGCAUCAUCGGUUGAAUGUGUACUCUAUAUAUAACGAUGUCAGAAACCCGUGCUCGAGAAAAAGAAGGUCAGAAACACUGUCGCGUUCUUGAACCCAGAAGGUUCCAUUUGCACGCCAAUUGUUUUGGGUGUGUUAUUUGGGCUCCAUUUGACAUUGCGGUGGAUUAUCAUAAUUUGUUUUGCUAUU
This is a long non-coding RNA of Brachypodium distachyon (stiff brome), 763 nucleotides long. RefSeq lists it as uncharacterized. The record is from RefSeq and is a predicted model, not a curated record. The transcript has 2 exons. NCBI's taxonomy places the organism in Eukaryota, Viridiplantae, Streptophyta, Magnoliopsida, Poales, Poaceae.